AUUGAACGCUGGCGGCAGGCUUAACACAUGCAAGUCGAGCGGGGUGAUGGUGCUUGCACUAUCACUUAGCGGCGAACGGGUGAGUAAAGUAUCGGAACGUGCCCAGUCGUGGGGGAUAACGUAGCGAAAGUUACGCUAAUACCGCAUACGAUCUAUGGAUGAAAGCGGGGGAUCGCAAGACCUCGCGCGAUUGGAGCGGCCGAUAUCAGAUUAGGUAGUUGGCGGGGUAACGGCCCACCAAGGCGACGAUGACUAGGGGAUCUGAGAGGAUGACCCCCCACACUGGUACUGAGACACGGACCAGACUCCUACGGGAGGCAGCAGUAAGGAAUAUUGGUCAAUGGGCGCAAGCCUGAACCAGCCAUGCCGCGUGCAGGAUGACUGCCCUAUGGGUUGUAAACUGCUUUUACCCGGGAAUAAACCUACUUACGAGUAAGUAGCUGAAUGUACCGGGGGAAUAAGGAUCGGCUAACUCCGUGCCAGCCGCCGCAGUAA
Molecule: ribosomal RNA, 495 nt
Filed under: uncultured bacterium
Lineage: Bacteria
Description: partial 16S ribosomal RNA
Rfam family: Bacterial small subunit ribosomal RNA
Source: RNAcentral